Molecule: unclassified non-coding RNA, 332 nt
Filed under: soil metagenome
Description: partial contains 5.8S ribosomal RNA, internal transcribed spacer 2, and large subunit ribosomal RNA
Rfam family: 5.8S ribosomal RNA (bases 1-120)
Source: RNAcentral
GAUGAAGAACGUAGCAAAAUGCGAUAAGUAAUGUGAAUUGCAGAAUUCAGUGAAUCAUUGAAUCUUUGAACGCACAUUGCGCCCGCCAGUAUUCUGGCGGGCAUGCCUGUUCGAGCGUCAUUUCAACCCUCAAGCACAGCUUGGUGUUGGGACUCGCGUUAAUUCGCGUUCCCCAAAUUGAUUGGCGGUCACGUCGAGCUUCCAUAGCGUAGUAGUAAAACCCUCGUUACUGGUAAUCGUCGCGGCCACGCCGUUAAACCCCAACUUCUGAAUGUUGACCUCGGAUCAGGUAGGAAUACCCGCUGAACUUAAGCAUAUCAAUAAGCGGAGGA